GUCAUUUUUAUUGUGUAGUUUUAUUUUUUAACUUUUUCAUUUCAGUUUUAGUCAUUUAGGUUUUUUUUGUCAUUUUUAUUUUUAUUUUUUUUUAUUUUUAACUUUAACGAGACUCAUUUUUCAUCUAACAGUUAUUUAUUUAUUUAGCUUUAUUUUAAGUAAUAAAAAUGAUUCUUAAUAGUGUAGUUUUAGUUGACAAUAACAACAGUUUUUAUUUAUGUAAUACUAAUUCACUAUUUUAGAGGUCUAACAAAGCUAAAUAAUCAAGCAAUUAUGGUAAAUGCUGAAUUAGAAUUAUGUAAAAAGAGCAUGAAUGAAUGCAUUUUUUAAUUGAGAGUCAUUUGUCCAAACAGGAAGCUUCACUUUUUAUCAUAUGUUUCCAAUAAACCACAGAAGCCAUUUCUAUGUGGAAGCAUUUCUUUUCUCUUUUCCACAGUGACCUUGUUUAAUCUUGUCCCUCCAGGUCUUUCAGCUCUGGAUUUCUAGGAAUAUUUCUUGGUUUUAUUUCACGGUGCCACAGUUCUGCAUUUUUCUGGUCAACUCAAAUCAAUGGAAAUGCCUUCUUUUGUUCCCCCAUGGGCUGCAUAAACAUGCCAUGUUCUAGAACGAGAUUAGAAAUGUUUGAAGAUUCUGGUGUUCUGAAAUGUAUUUGGUUGACCUGCCUUGGAAUCCUCUAACCGCUGUUUUCAUUGAUAAAUAACUGAACAUGUUUCAUGAAAUGAUCUGAAUAUGUGAGAAGAGAGU
Molecule: long non-coding RNA, 744 nt
Organism: Cyprinus carpio (common carp)
Lineage: Eukaryota; Metazoa; Chordata; Actinopteri; Cypriniformes; Cyprinidae
Source: Ensembl